AGCGUUGCUCGGAAUUACUGGGCGUAAAGGGAGCGUAGGCGGAUAGUUUAGUCAGAGGUGAAAGCCCAGGGCUCAACCUUGGAAUUGCCUUUGAUACUGGCUAUCUUGAGUAUGGAAGAGGUAUGUGGAACUCCGAGUGUAG
Molecule: ribosomal RNA, 142 nt
Filed under: uncultured Alphaproteobacteria bacterium
Lineage: Bacteria; Pseudomonadati; Pseudomonadota; Alphaproteobacteria
Description: partial 16S ribosomal RNA
Rfam family: Bacterial small subunit ribosomal RNA
Source: RNAcentral